CGGCAACAGCUCAAAUUUGAAAUCUGGCCCUUGUGGUCCGAGUUGUAAUUUGUAGAGGAUGCUUUUGGUGAGGUGCCUUCCGAGUGCCCUGGAACGGGACGCCAUAGAGGGUGAGAGCCCCGUCUGGUUGGACACCGAGCCUCUGUAAAGCUCCUUCGACGAGUCGAGUAGUUUGGGAAUGCUGCUCUAAAUGGGAGGUAUAUGUCUUCUAAAGCUAAAUAUUGGCCAGAGACCGAUAGCGCACAAGUAGAGUGAUCGAAAGAUGAAAAGCACUUUGAAAAGAGGGUUAAAAAGUACGUGAAAUUGUUGAAAGGGAAGCGCUUGUGACCAGACUUGGGCCCGGUCAAUCAUCCAGGGUUCUCCCUGGUGCACUUGGCCGGCCCAGGCCAGCAUCAGUUUGUCGCGGGGGAUAAAGACGUUGGGAAUGUGGCUCCUCCGGGAGUGUUAUAGCCCUUCGUGCAAUACCCUGCUUCGGACUGAGGUUCGCGCAUCUGCAAGGAUGCUGGCGUAAUGGUCAUCAGCGACCCGUCUUGAAACACGGACCAAGGAGUCGUCUUCGUAUGCGAGUGUUCGGGUGUCAAACCCCUACGCGUAAUGAAAGUGAACGCAGGUGAGAGCUUCGGCGCAUCAUCGACCGAUCCUGAUGUUCUCGGAUGGAUUUGAGUAAGAGCAUACGGGGCCGGACCCGAAAGAAGGUGAACUAUGCCUGUAUAGGGUGAAGCCAGAGGAAACUCUGGUGGAGGCUCGCAGCGGUUCUGACGUGCAAAUCGAUCGUCAAAUAUGGGCAUGGGGGGCGAA
Molecule: ribosomal RNA, 798 nt
Filed under: Murinectria polythalama
Lineage: Eukaryota; Fungi; Ascomycota; Sordariomycetes; Hypocreales; Nectriaceae
Description: eukaryotic LSU rRNA
Rfam family: Eukaryotic large subunit ribosomal RNA
Source: RNAcentral